AAUGCUUAAAAGAAAUUCAAAAGAUGGUGUAAAUAAUAAAAAAAUUAAGAUAUAAGCUGCUAUAUGCAUUUAUCAGUAUGUUUUAAUAAAAUAAAAUGUAUUUUAGCCAUGCAUUAUCAAGAAGGAAGAGAUUAAUGAACCCUACCCUCUUACAAUGAACAAAACAUGGACACUCUCGGGAUGAUCCUUUUGCUUUCAUUAAGAGUUUCAAGAUGUGGGUCUGAUUGACUGGGGAGUGAAAUGUAACAGCCAAUGGUGUACUUAAGCUAAGACUGUCAGUCCCAAUAUUCAAGAGGUGAGAUAAGCAAUGGAUAUGUGUUCUAAAUUUACUAAAUUGACCACUUUUUAUAAAUGUUUCUUUUACUCUAUAGGAAAAACCCCUACAUAAACAAAUACAUGGGCGCAGACAUUUUGGACACCCAAGGUUGUGCGGAGGAGAAAAUGCUAGCUGGCGCGUGAUUGGUCAAUAAGAGAAAAGACUUGUUAUGUAUUUGACAAGUGAAAUAAAGUUGAUAAAAAUCUGA
Long non-coding RNA from Saccostrea cuccullata (small rock oyster), 524 nucleotides. RefSeq lists it as uncharacterized. NCBI's taxonomy places the organism in Eukaryota, Metazoa, Mollusca, Bivalvia, Ostreida, Ostreidae. The record is from RefSeq and is a predicted model, not a curated record. The transcript is spliced from 2 exons.